This is a non-coding RNA of Paramuricea clavata, 206 nucleotides long. Lineage: Eukaryota; Metazoa; Cnidaria; Anthozoa; Malacalcyonacea; Plexauridae. The record is from the annotation of a GenBank genome assembly.
CUCUUGCAUCUCAGACCAAGCAACACAACAGUCAGUUUAGCGUUUUGGAAAGAAAAUAACGACAAGAAGAAAAUGAUUUCAAACAUUGUUUUUCUCAUCAGUCUGUUCCUGUUUGGAAUGGAAGUGGCGUCUAAGACAGUGGCUAAACAGGUUAGUUAUACACUGUACAUUUUUUUAAAACUUUCAUCCAGUUUUAAAUAAUUUAG